Molecule: ribosomal RNA, 535 nt
Filed under: uncultured bacterium
Lineage: Bacteria
Description: bacterial SSU rRNA
Rfam family: Bacterial small subunit ribosomal RNA
Source: RNAcentral
GUCCUGAGUACAGUGGCGCACGGGUGAGUAACACGUGAAUCAUCUACCUUCGAGUGAGGAAUAACUGAGAGAAAUCUUAGCUAAUACCGCAUAAUACCUACGGGUCAAAGCAGCAAUGCGCUUGAAGAGGAGUUCGCGGCAGAUUAGUUAGUUGGCGGUGUAAUGGCUCACCAAGGCGACGAUCAGUAGCUGGUCUGAGAGGAUGAUCAGCACAUUGGGACUGAGACACGGCCAAACUCCUACGGGAGGCAGCAGUGGGGAAUAUUGGACAAUGGGCGCAAGCCUGAUCCAGCCAUGCCGCGUGAGUGAUGAAGGCCCUAGGGUUGUAAAGCUCUCUUUUGUGCGGGAAGAUAAUGACGGUACCGAAGAAUAAGCCCCGGUAACUACGUGCCAGAGCGGGUAAUACGUAGGGUGGCAAGCGUUAAUCGGAAUUACUGGGCGUAAAGCGUGCGCAGGCGGUUUAUUAAGUCAGCUGUGAAAUCCCCGGGUUAACCUGGGAAUGGCAAGUUGAGACUGGUAAGCUGGAGUGUGUCAA